CCUCAUGGCCUUUAUGUCUAGGGCUACACACGUGCGUACAAUGGGUGGUACAAAGAGCAGCUAACUCGCGAGAGUAUGCAAAUCUCAAAAAGCCAUCCUCAGUUCGGAUUGGAGUCUGCAACUCGACUCCAUGAAGUUGGAAUCGCUAGUAAUCGCGGAUCAGCAUGCCGCGGUCGAAUACGUUCCCGGGCCCUU
RNAcentral lists this ribosomal RNA (195 nucleotides) under uncultured Syntrophus sp. RNAcentral describes it as "partial 16S ribosomal RNA". It matches the Rfam family "Bacterial small subunit ribosomal RNA", at positions 1191 to 1382 of the family's 1533-position model. Lineage: Bacteria; Pseudomonadati; Thermodesulfobacteriota; Syntrophia; Syntrophales; Syntrophaceae. The record is from RNAcentral.